RNAcentral lists this ribosomal RNA (450 nucleotides) under uncultured bacterium. RNAcentral's name for it is "bacterial SSU rRNA". It matches the Rfam family "Bacterial small subunit ribosomal RNA", at positions 29 to 524 of the family's 1533-position model. The record is from RNAcentral.
AACGAACGCUGGCGGCAGGCCUAACACAUGCAAGUCGAACGCUCUAGCAAUAGAGAGUGGCGCACGGGUGCGUAACGCGUGGGAAUAUGCCCUUGACUACGGAACAACAUCGGGAAACUGAUGCUAUUACCGUAUAAUGUCUUCGGACCAAAGAUUUAUCGGUCAAGGAUUAGCCCGCGUCUGAUUAGCUAGUUGGUGAGGUAAUGGCUCACCAAGGCGACGAUCAGUAGCUGGUCUGAGAGGAUGAUCAGCCACACUGGGACUGAGACACGGCCCAGACUCCUACGGGAGGCAGCAGUGAGGAAUAUUGGACAAUGGGCGCAAGCCUGAUCCAGCCAUGCCGCGUGAGUGAUGAAGGCCUUCGGGUUGUAACGCUCUUUCAGAUGCGAAGAUAAUGACGGUAACAUCAGAAGAAGCCCCGGCUAAAUUCGUGCCAGCAGCCGCGGUAAU